GGUAACGUUGGGCCGGGAGGCGGGGUAAAACGGAGGGGGGUAGCGUUAGUCGGGAUGUGUGGGCGGAAAGGGCGCGUAGGCGGUUUCUUAAGUCGGAUGGGCAAUCCCCGGGUGCAACCCGGGAACUGCAUCCGGGACUGGGGGGCUAGGGUACUGGGGGGGUUGGUGGAAUUCCUCGUGUAGCGGGGAAAUGCGUAGAGAUGAGGAGGGACACCAGUGGCGAAGGCGGCCAACUGGACAGUAACUGACGCUGAGGCGCGAAAGCGUGGGUAGCAAACAGGAUUAGAUACCGGGGUAGUC
RNAcentral lists this ribosomal RNA (300 nucleotides) under uncultured Sulfophobococcus sp. RNAcentral describes it as "partial 16S ribosomal RNA". It matches the Rfam family "Bacterial small subunit ribosomal RNA", at positions 496 to 795 of the family's 1533-position model. Lineage: Archaea; Thermoproteati; Thermoproteota; Thermoprotei; Desulfurococcales; Desulfurococcaceae. The record is from RNAcentral.